GACAGAGGGUGCAAACGUUGUUCGGAAUUACUGGGCGUAAAGCGUGUGUAGGCGGCUUUGCAAGUCGGAUGUGAAAGCCCGGGGCUCAACCUCGGAAGUGCACUCGAUACUGCAGAGCUAGAGUUUCGGAGAGGUUGGUGGAAUUCUCGGUGUAGAGGUGAAAUUCAUAGAUAUCGAGAGGAACACCGGUGGCGAAGGCGGCCAACUGGACGAAGACUGACGCUGAGACACGAAAGCGUGGGGAGCAAACAGG
This 253-nucleotide ribosomal RNA is filed under the name uncultured bacterium. RNAcentral's name for it is "partial 16S ribosomal RNA". It matches the Rfam family "Bacterial small subunit ribosomal RNA", at positions 524 to 776 of the family's 1533-position model. The record is from RNAcentral.